GUGGGGAAUAUUGGACAAUGGGGGGAACCCUGAUCCAGCCAUGCCGCGUGUGUGAAGAAGGCCUUUUGGUUGUAAAGCACUUUAAGUGGGGAGGAGGCUUACCUGGUUAAUACCUAGGCUAAGUGGACGUUACCCACAGAAUAAGCACCGGCUAACUCUGUGCCAGCAGCCGCGGUAAUACAGAGGGUGCGAGCGUUAAUCGGAUUUACUGGGCGUAAAGCGCGCGUAGGUGGUUAAUUAAGUCAAAUGUGAAAUCCCCGAGCUUAACUUGGGAAUUGCAUUCGAUACUGGUUAGCUAGAGUAUGGGAGAGGAUGGUAGAAUUCCAGGUGUAGCGGUGAAAUGCGUAGAGAUCUGGAGGAAUACCGAUGGCGAAGGCAGCCAUCUGGCCUAAUACUGACACUGAGGUGCGAAAGCAUGGGGAGCAAACAGGAUUAGAUACCCUUGUAGUCC
Molecule: ribosomal RNA, 451 nt
Filed under: uncultured bacterium
Lineage: Bacteria
Description: partial 16S ribosomal RNA
Rfam family: Bacterial small subunit ribosomal RNA
Source: RNAcentral